CCUUCUUCGACGUUAAAGGGAUACAAAGAUAGGAUAGUAAAUAAUCCUUCUGGGGAGGAAUGGAAUAUUUGAUUGACAAUUUCGUCCUCAGUUAAGUAUUCUUCAGGGAUGAGGCCUAUAAUUUGGUUUUGGAAACCAAAUGUAUAGUACUCAGCAUCCAAUGCUAGACCUAAUAAUAUUCCUUUUGGUAAAGUAACACUAUUGGGUGUAACAUUGUUGACCAUUAUAUAGGUGGAAUUCUUACCAAUACUUACCAUUGGUGUAUGCGUUACCACCAUCCCUGAUU
This is a non-coding RNA of Pelobates cultripes (western spadefoot toad), 286 nucleotides long. NCBI's taxonomy places the organism in Eukaryota, Metazoa, Chordata, Amphibia, Anura, Pelobatidae. The record is from the annotation of a GenBank genome assembly.